GACAGGAGGGGCAAGCGUUAUUCGGAAUAAUUGGGCGUAAAGGGUCCGUAGGCGGUGAAGAAGGUUGUCAUUGAAAUGUUCAGCUUAGCUGAUCGCAGGUGGCAAAACCACUUGACUAGAGUGCAAUAGAGGAGAAUGGAAUUCCCGGAGUACGGGUGAAAUCGGUAGAUACCGGGAGGAACUCCAGAGGCGAAGGCGAUUCUCUGGGUUGCCACUGACGCUGAGGGACGAAAGCGUGGAUAGUAAAUAGG
This 251-nucleotide unclassified non-coding RNA is filed under the name uncultured bacterium. Its description in RNAcentral is "contains 16S-23S intergenic spacer region". It matches the Rfam family "Bacterial small subunit ribosomal RNA", at positions 524 to 776 of the family's 1533-position model. The record is from RNAcentral.